RNAcentral lists this ribosomal RNA (253 nucleotides) under uncultured bacterium. RNAcentral describes it as "partial 16S ribosomal RNA". It matches the Rfam family "Bacterial small subunit ribosomal RNA", at positions 524 to 776 of the family's 1533-position model. The record is from RNAcentral.
UACGUAGGUGGCAAGCGUUGUCCGGAAUUACUGGGCGUAAAGGGCGCGUAGGCGGUCUUGUAAGUCUUGUGUGAAAUCCCUCGGCUUAACUGAGGAACUGCACGGGAUACUGCGAGACUUGAGUUCGGGAGAGGGAAGCGGAAUUCCGGGUGUAGCGGUGAAAUGCGUAGAUAUCCGGAGGAACACCGGUGGCGAAGGCGGCUUCCUGGACCGACACUGACGCUGAGGCGCGAAAGCUAGGGGAGCAAACGGG